RNAcentral lists this long non-coding RNA (1372 nucleotides) under Homo sapiens (human). Its description in RNAcentral is "long independently transcribed non-coding RNA 3060, transcript variant 4 (LINC03060)". Lineage: Eukaryota; Metazoa; Chordata; Mammalia; Primates; Hominidae. The record is from RNAcentral.
AUGAGAAUCUAACGCCUGAUGACCUAUCACUGUCUCCCAUCACUCCCAGAUGGGACCGUCUAGUUGCAGGAAAACAAGCUCAGGGCUCCCACUGAUUCUACAUUAUGGAAAUUUCAUGAUCCGACUGGAAUCCAGGAAAAUCACAGCUGAAAUACAAAACAUCAGCCCUUAUCUCCAGCACUGUACAUGGCAGAAACUGCUUUUAUUCUAGAUGUCUAGAUCCAGAUCAACUGCAUGGGGUCCUACAGGAGAAGACCAAGAGACAGAGACAGAGACCAGGGAAAAUGACCGAUACCAUUCCUUCUCAGGGAUGCUACACACCCAUGGGGCAGAGGAUAAGAGGUUCCUGAAGGCAUCACCCCUCUGGCCAUGGCUGGUGUGCAGACAAAGCUGGAGAUUUGGAGUAGCCUGUUGUCCCACUGACUCUUAGACUGCCCCAGCUAAGAAGAACCAACUCCUCCUAUUACAGAUGAAAUAAACAAAGCUACUCAAGCUCUCUGGCAUCGCCCUGACGGUCAUCAUGUGCUUCACAUUUCCCUCCUGCCCCCCCUGAUUUUCUGGAAAAGGGAGAAACACACCAAAGAGAGUUCUAGAAAAAAUGAGAAUAAGAAAUUUACCUGUAAUCCUUGCUCAAGAAACUGAAGCUCUGAGGCCACAUUGUUCCAGCCUUUUGCAGCUCCUGCAUGUGGAUACCAGCACCAGCAGCUCCCCGACCAGGGGCCCCAGCUAAGCCCUCCCAGAGGAUGAUCUUGGCUUUGUACAUGGGGUGUCAAUAUCCUGUGAGUCCAACAGAGGGAAGACAUAAGAAUAUGGUCACCCAGGUAACAGACAUUUGUCUUAAUGUAUUCACUGUGUCAUCAGAAGCCACUUCUUAUCCAUCCUUGUGAAUACUUGAUGAAUGAGGAGUCAAUGAUUAAAUGAAGGAAAGAAAAGAGACUGAAAAGGAGGUAUGAGAAUGGGAAAGACGAGUGGAAAGACGAGAUAGAUAUUGCCCUAAAGACACAGUAAGCCAUCAAAUAUCUGUUUUCUAGUCCCCUUCUGGGCCCUCUUGGAUUUUGAAAAAGGGAGGAAGAAAUUGGAAAAAUUACCAAUAACUUCUAUUGACUUUGUAGAUUCCUAGUUUCCCCACAUGUGGCUAUGCUUGAAUCAACUUGUAAAAGUCUCUUUAUAGUCUGUUGAUGUUCAUGCAGGCACUAAAAGGCCACGGUCGGCCUACUUAGAUGAUCCACUCCACCCUGGGCUCCGGAAGAUGUUCCAGGGCAUUUGCCUUUACUUGACCCUAUGCUGAGAAGCUACCAAUAUUUUUCUUUCCCCAAAUUGGUUUUAUUUGUACCCUUUAUAUAUUAAAUAUUAGAGUAUUGGCCAAGUUGAA